This 60-nucleotide transfer RNA is filed under the name Chaetogammarus marinus. Its description in RNAcentral is "tRNA-Leu". The record is from RNAcentral. Lineage: Eukaryota; Metazoa; Arthropoda; Malacostraca; Amphipoda; Gammaridae.
ACCAUUUUGGCGGAUCAGCGCGCGAGGCUUAGGACCUCGAUAGGGGUACUCCAAAUGGUA